Molecule: non-coding RNA, 1693 nt
Organism: Phalacrocorax carbo (great cormorant)
Lineage: Eukaryota; Metazoa; Chordata; Aves; Suliformes; Phalacrocoracidae
Source: RefSeq, a predicted model, not a curated record
UUGACGUCACACCUCACUGUCUGGAGUACUUCUGACGUGGAGGAAGAGUUAGCUCUUUGUUCUCCACCUUAAAGAAAAAGAAAUCUAAAUUAUGGCUCUGAUUCAGUACGGCGUUUCAACACCUACUUUAAAGCAUCAGAUGAGCUCCAAGAAAUGUCUCCCCUGGUCAUGCCCAGGCAGCUCUAGUUUGAAUGCAUGACGAUACCUCUUAGUUGGUCUUCAUCAUCCCCCAGAACCACGUUAUGGGAAAUUGCAGCGGUAUCCUUCAGCACAGUGUCUCUCAGCUCUCCUGUGGUUAUACCGAUGUCACACAGUGGGUAAUGGUUAGACGUGGACUACCCACUGUGACUGCAGCUAAAAGAGCUACAGAAAUAUAGCUGUUCACCCAUGUACACAAAGGCUGGCCUCCCCAUGGCCCUGUAGAUGUCUUCAUCCAUCAGUUCCUUCAAGUGCUGUUGUUUGGUUCAUCUCUCCUUCCUGUUGUAUAUCGGUCUACAGAACCCUGCAACAUCUUGCCACGGAGACUGACUCAGCCAUACUGGAGGUGAAGAAAAGUCUGAUCCGCUUCUCUCCAUGUGAAGCUUGGAAAUGGCAGUGGAGCACCUACACAGCUUGGCCAACGACAAAUGUGUUGGAAAUUCCUCAAGGGAAAGAAAGCCCCUCUCCUGCUAGCUGAUGUUUACUGGUGAAGAGAAUGUCCAGCAGAAGAGAGCCGAUGGCCACAUGAGCGGUCUGUGUGAUGUGGGUGCCCACAGAAGUGAUCCUGGCGCAUCACCAGGAACUCUGACCCAGGCGCUGAAACCACCAGUGAACAUGGGUUGCACAAGCCUGUGUGACUCUGCCCUGGCCGGCUGGAAGCUGUCGUACCACCAGCUGGAAACAGAUGAGUGACGGCUGAGGAGUCAGGAGAAGCUUUCUGCAUGGCCUCUCGGCAAAACCCAAUGUUUCUCAGCAGUCGCAUGGGCAUGUUUAACCCACCUUUGCAGUGAAUGCUUAUGUACCAAGGCCAAUAUAGUUUUCGAAAUUUGUUUUGUUCUCCUUAGGCUUUUCCAUGAGGCAUUUCUAAUACUUAUUCUGUACUUACCUAAACUCAUUUAGUCUCCAUUUUUAAAAGAUUUAUUCUUUAUAUUAAAAGUGGGUUUACCACCUUUCCGAUGAAGCCAGCUGUCCAAGACCCAGAAACCUUCCAGAGUCCUGACCUUGUUCCAGGGUAUGAUCUUGGCUUUGAACUGUGUUUCUCAGCUUUUUUCAUGGCAUUUGCUUUAUUCCAGGGAAAAGAUGUCUCCAAGUCCCUUUAAUGACAGGGCUUCUCUGAAGCAAGGGUCUAAAAUUAUCAUAUCCCCCCCCCCCCGUGCGAGUAAUCCUACAGAUACCAGUGGUCUUAACUAGCACAGCUGAGUAGAAGUUGCCAAGAGUUCUGCAAAAAAAAAAAAAAAGAGAAAAACAAUGUCAGCCGACUGCAAGCCAAGGAGGAGGUUUUUUGGAAAUUAACAAAAACUGAUUUGUACUUUGGGUGUGUUCUAGAUUUAUCAAAGCCACGUCUUCAUUCUGGUAAUAAGCUCUACUAAAAAGCGAACUCUUCUACCCAAAACUGACUUUCGACUUUCUAAUUUAACAAUAAUAGCAGCCUUUCUGAAAUUAUAGUUUGUGUUACUGAUGAGUUCAAAAUUAAAAUUAAAACCUUAUCCUGCAA